GAAGGAUGCUUCAGUGCUGGAGCACAGUGAGACAGGGGCUGCCGGAGAGAAAGCUCCCCUUUAAAAGAUAACAAACGUCUACUAUUUACAAGUCCAUCUACCAUUCAAGAUUAAACAAGGAACUGCAUAAGCUAAAUCCAAUGUAACCCAGUACAAGAAGUGAUGUUAGUACAGACAAUAGAAGGCAAAAGCUGAGAAAAGAUUUGAAAAGCAAAACUGUUAUUAACAGUAUACAUUUCAGGACUAUAUUUCAGGUAAUAAUUAGGAAAUUAUUAUUCAACAAGCUGGAAUAUUGCCCCCUAGAUAUUGCUUAAUAGCGCUGUGAGUACACUGUGAGACUCCAAAAUAAAUUUUGUUCUCUGAUUUCAUCCACCUUAUGUUGCAGCA
This is a long non-coding RNA of Rana temporaria (common frog), 387 nucleotides long. RefSeq lists it as uncharacterized. Lineage: Eukaryota; Metazoa; Chordata; Amphibia; Anura; Ranidae. The transcript is spliced from 3 exons. The record is from RefSeq and is a predicted model, not a curated record.